RNAcentral lists this microRNA (22 nucleotides) under Asparagus officinalis (garden asparagus). Its description in RNAcentral is "aof-miR2275b". The record is from miRBase by way of RNAcentral. Lineage: Eukaryota; Viridiplantae; Streptophyta; Magnoliopsida; Asparagales; Asparagaceae.
UCUGGUUUCCUCCAAUAUCUCA